UGGCAGGACAGAAAACAACUGGCGAUUUCCCCAGGUCCCAAGCUGUUCCAGAGUGGGCAUGUUGGGUCCCUGUCCCCAAUGUGUUCCAGCCUUACCCAGGUGCACAGAGUACCCUGGGACCAGCACAGGGCUUGUCAAGUAAUGCUCCUGGUGUCCACAAAACAGCUCCAGAGAUACCUGCAUUUUGAAAAGCCUGCCUAGCCAGCAAGUAUGGGGCAGGACCCAGAUUGCUUUGGCAAAUCUGAAGGUGAGCUGGCCACUUGCCUGGUGAGUAGAAGCUGCCUUUACCUGGCCAGUGUAUGCAACUUGAGAGAAAAUGACAACUUCACAGGGGGGUUCUG
RNAcentral lists this long non-coding RNA (341 nucleotides) under Homo sapiens (human). RNAcentral describes it as "non-protein coding lnc-TRIM48-1:1". Lineage: Eukaryota; Metazoa; Chordata; Mammalia; Primates; Hominidae. The record is from RNAcentral.